RNAcentral lists this ribosomal RNA (345 nucleotides) under Salmonella enterica. RNAcentral describes it as "partial 23S ribosomal RNA". The record is from RNAcentral. Lineage: Bacteria; Pseudomonadati; Pseudomonadota; Gammaproteobacteria; Enterobacterales; Enterobacteriaceae.
AUUUAAAGUGGUACGCGAGCUGGGUUUAGAACGUCGUGAGACAGUUCGGUCCCUAUCUGCCGUGGGCGCUGGAGAACUGAGGGGGGCUGCUCCUAGUACGAGAGGACCGGAGUGGACGCAUCACUGGUGUUCGGGUUGUCAUGCCAAUGGCACUGCCCGGUAGCUAAAUGCGGAAGAGAUAAGUGCUGAAAGCAUCUAAGCACGAAACUUGCCCCGAGAUGAGUUCUCCCUGAGACUUWRAGUCUCCUGAAGGAACGUUGAAGACGACGACGUUGAUAGGCCGGGUGUGUAAGCGCAGCGAUGCGUUGAGCUAACCGGUACUAAUGAACCGUGAGGCUUAACCUU